RNAcentral lists this ribosomal RNA (495 nucleotides) under uncultured bacterium. RNAcentral describes it as "partial 16S ribosomal RNA". It matches the Rfam family "Bacterial small subunit ribosomal RNA", at positions 29 to 506 of the family's 1533-position model. The record is from RNAcentral.
AUGAACGCUGGCGGCGUGCCUAAUACAUGCAAGUCGAGCGAACAGACGAGGAGCUUGCUCCUCUGACGUUAGCGGCGGACGGGUGAGUAACACGUGGAUAACCUACCUAUAAGACUGGGAUAACUUCGGGAAACCGGAGCUAAUACCGGAUAACAUGUUGAACCGCAUGGUUCAACAGUGAAAGACGGUUUUGCUGUCACUUAUAGAUGGAUCCGCGUCGCAUUAGCUAGUUGGUAAGGUAACGGCUUACCAAGGCAACGAUGCGUAGCCGACCUGAGAGGGUGAUCGGCCACACUGGAACUGAGACACGGUCCAGACUCCUACGGGAGGCAGCAGUAGGGAAUCUUCCGCAAUGGGCGAAAGCCUGACGGAGCAACGCCGCGUGAGUGAAGAAGGUCUUCGGAUCGUAAAACUCUGUUAUUAGGGAAGAACAAAUGUGUAAGUAACUAUGCACGUCUUGACGGUACCUAAUCAGAAAGCCACGGCUAACUACGU